RNAcentral lists this unclassified non-coding RNA (356 nucleotides) under Hevea brasiliensis (rubber tree). The record is from RNAcentral. Lineage: Eukaryota; Viridiplantae; Streptophyta; Magnoliopsida; Malpighiales; Euphorbiaceae.
GCCCAUUGUUCUCUCCGUGAAUCCUUGUUUAUGGUGGAGCAGGAAGGAACAUGAAGAAUGAUGGAAUUGAUUCUGCCAACAUUUCUGCUUUACACUGUAUCGAUCUCUCCAGCCCUGACAUUCAUACCUCUGUUUCUCUCCUCAAACAGGCUUGCUUAGAUUCAGGAUUUUUCUAUGUUGUCAAUCAUGGUAUUAGCCAGGAGUUUAUGGAUGAGGUUUUCGCUCAAAGCAAAAAGCUCUUUGAUCUUCCUUUGGAAGAGAAGAUGAAGCUUCUUAGAAAUGAAAAACAUCGGGGCUACACUCCUAGUCUAGAUGAACAUUUGGAUCCUGACAAUCAAAUAAAUGGUGACUAUAAG